AAGACGGUGGGCUGCAGUGGGGAAUAUUGGACAAUGGGCGAAAGCCUGAUCCAGCCAUGCCGCGUGUGUGAAGAAGGCCUUCGGGUUGUAAAGCACUUUCAGUGGGGAAGAAAGCCUUGGGGCUAAUACCCUCGAGGAAGGACAUCACCCACAGAAGAAGCACCGGCUAACUCCGUGCCAGCAGCCGCGGUAAUACGGAGGGUGCGAGCGUUAAUCGGAAUUACUGGGCGUAAAGCGCGCGUAGGCGGUCUGAUAAGCCGGUUGUGAAAGCCCCGGGCUCAACCUGGGAACGGCAUCCGGAACUGUCAGGCUAGAGUGCAGGAGAGGAAGGUAGAAUUCCCGGUGUAGCAGUGAAAUGCGUAGAGAUCGGGAGGAAUACCAGUGGCGAAGGCGGCCUUCUGGACUGACACUGACGCUGAGGUGCGAAAGCGUGGGUAGCAAACAGGAUUAGAUACCCCUGUAGUC
Molecule: ribosomal RNA, 465 nt
Filed under: Vreelandella stevensii
Lineage: Bacteria; Pseudomonadati; Pseudomonadota; Gammaproteobacteria; Oceanospirillales; Halomonadaceae
Description: partial 16S ribosomal RNA
Rfam family: Bacterial small subunit ribosomal RNA
Source: RNAcentral